Long non-coding RNA from Phyllostomus discolor (pale spear-nosed bat), 133 nucleotides. RefSeq lists it as uncharacterized. The transcript has 4 exons. The record is from RefSeq and is a predicted model, not a curated record. NCBI's taxonomy places the organism in Eukaryota, Metazoa, Chordata, Mammalia, Chiroptera, Phyllostomidae.
UGCAAACACAGUCUCAGGUUGAGGUCACAGCUCAGCUCAAUUCCCAUCUCCUCCCCAUCCUGACCCUGGUCAUUCCUGUGGCCUCAUCUCUUCCUGGGUCCCUAAACCCAAAAAACUCCUGACUCCACCUCUG